GUUUGCGUAGCGCAGUGGCAGCGCGGAUCCCUUACGACUGCAAGGCUGGGCACCUCCCUCCUUGGCCUGAACGGAUUAGGUCGUCGGUUCGAACCCGGCCGUGAACA
RNAcentral lists this transfer RNA (107 nucleotides) under Pseudozyma flocculosa. It matches the Rfam family "tRNA". From Rfam's summary of the family: Transfer RNA (tRNA) molecules are approximately 80 nucleotides in length. Their secondary structure includes four short double-helical elements and three loops (D, anti-codon, and T loops). Further hydrogen bonds mediate the characteristic L-shaped molecular structure. tRNAs have two regions of fundamental functional importance: the anti-codon, which is responsible for specific mRNA codon recognition, and the 3' end, to which the tRNAs corresponding amino acid is attached (by aminoacyl-tRNA synthetases). tRNAs cope with the degeneracy of the genetic code in two manners: having more than one tRNA (with a specific anti-codon) for a particular amino acid; and 'wobble' base-pairing, i.e. permitting non-standard base-pairing at the 3rd anti-codon position. Lineage: Eukaryota; Fungi; Basidiomycota; Ustilaginomycetes; Ustilaginales; Ustilaginaceae. The record is from Rfam by way of RNAcentral.